This 341-nucleotide ribosomal RNA is filed under the name uncultured archaeon. RNAcentral's name for it is "partial 16S ribosomal RNA". It matches the Rfam family "Archaeal small subunit ribosomal RNA", at positions 133 to 475 of the family's 1478-position model. The record is from RNAcentral.
CGGAAAACUGGGGAUAAUACCCGAUAGAUCUCGACUGCUGGAAUGCAUCGAGAUCCAAAGCUCCGGCGUCUAAGGAUGGAUCUGCGGCCUAUCAGGUAGUAGUGGGUGUAGCGUACCUACUAGCCUACGACGGGUACGGGUUGUGAGAGCAAGAGCCCGGAGAUGGAUUCUGAGACACGAAUCCAGGCCCUACGGGGUGCAGCAGGCGCGAAAACUUUACAAUGCUGGCAACAGCGAUAAGGGGACCUCGAGUGCCAGGUUACAAAUCUGGCUGUCGUGAUGCCUAAAAAGCAUUGCAUAGCAAGGGCCGGGCAAGACCGGUGCCAGCCGCCGCGGUAACA